GUGCUCUCUUUGGUAGCUCAUAUCCUAACACUGGAAAAAUACAAACAAGGUUAGCAUGGCCCCUGCACUAGGAUGGCAUGCAAAUUCAUAGCGUGUUCCAUGUUUCA
Small nuclear RNA from Acomys russatus (golden spiny mouse), 107 nucleotides. Lineage: Eukaryota; Metazoa; Chordata; Mammalia; Rodentia; Muridae. The record is from RefSeq and is a predicted model, not a curated record.